RNAcentral lists this ribosomal RNA (858 nucleotides) under uncultured organism. Its description in RNAcentral is "bacterial SSU rRNA". It matches the Rfam family "Bacterial small subunit ribosomal RNA", at positions 20 to 886 of the family's 1533-position model. The record is from RNAcentral.
UGGCUCAGAAUGAACGUUGGCGGCGUGGAUUAGGCAUGCAAGUCGUGCGAGAAACCAAUUAGCUUGCUAAGAGGUGGACAGCGGCGAAAGGGAGAGUAACGCGUGGUUACGUGCCCCGAGGUCCAGGAUAGCGUUGGGAAACCGGCGGUAAUACUGGAUGAUAUCUUCGGAUCAAAGGUGUGAUUCCGCCUUGGGAUCGGACCGCGUACUAUUAGCUUGUUGGUGGGGUAAUGGCCUACCAAGGCUGUGAUGGUUACCGGGUGUGAGAGCAUGGCCCGGCUCACUGGGACUGAGACACCGCCCAGACACCUACGGGUGGCUGCAGUCGAGAAUCUUCGGCAAUGGACGAAAGUCUGACCGAGCGACGCCGCGUGCGGGAUGAAGGCCCUCGGGUUGUAAACCGCUGUCAGUUGGAAGGAAGGGCCUGUGCAGAGCAGGUCUUGACCGAUCUUCAGAGGAAGGACGGGCUAAGUUCGUGCCAGCAGCCGCGGUAAGACGAACCGUCCAAACGUUAUUCGGUAUCACUGGGCUUAAAGCGUGCGUAGGCGGCCUGGAAGGUGAGAUGUGAAAGCCCACGGCUCAACCGUGGAAUUGCGUUUCAAACCGCCAGGCUUGAGGAAGACAGGGGUGUUGGGAACUUAUGGUGGAGCGGUGAAAUGCGUUGAUAUCAUAGGGAACACCGGUGGCGAAGGCGCAACACUGGGUCUUUUCUGACGCUGAGGCACGAAAGCUAGGGUAGCGAACGGGAUUAGAUACCCCGGUAGUCCUAGCCGUAAACGAUGAGCACUGGGUUGAGGGGACUUCCACAUCCUCUCGGCCGUAGCGAAAGCGUUAAGUGCUCCGNCUGGGGAGUAUGGU